CAUCAUUCAGUUGGGCACUCUAGCAAGACUGCCGGUGACAAACCGGAGGAAGGUGGGGAUGACGUCAAAUCAUCAUGCCCCUUAUGACCUGGGCUACACACGUGCUACAAUGGGAAGUACAACGAGUCGCGAAGUCGCGAGGCUAAGCUAAUCUCUUAAAGCUUCUCUCAGUUCGGAUUGCAGGCUGCAACUCGCCUGCAUGAAGCCGGAAUCGCUAGUAAUCGCGGAUCAGCACGCCGCGGUGAAUACGUUCCCGGGCCUUGUACACACCGCCCGUCACACCACGAGAGUUUGUAACACCCGAAGUCGGUGAGGUAACCUUUUUGGAGCCAGUCGCCUAAGGUGGGAUAGAUGAUUGGGGUGAAGUCGUAACAAGGUAGCCGUAUCGGAAGGUGCGGCUGGAUCACCUCCUUU
Molecule: ribosomal RNA, 414 nt
Filed under: Enterococcus faecium
Lineage: Bacteria; Bacillati; Bacillota; Bacilli; Lactobacillales; Enterococcaceae
Description: bacterial SSU rRNA
Rfam family: Bacterial small subunit ribosomal RNA
Source: RNAcentral